Molecule: non-coding RNA, 145 nt
Organism: Gossypium raimondii (Peruvian cotton)
Lineage: Eukaryota; Viridiplantae; Streptophyta; Magnoliopsida; Malvales; Malvaceae
Source: Rfam
UGUUAAAAGAUUCAUUCAUUUGUAUCGUUAAAAACUGAUGCGAUUGACAAAAUAACUAGACAAUGACACGUGACAUGCCAUAUAUACAUCAUGUUGACAUAUAGAGAUCAAUAUUUAACUGUAGAAAUAGAUGAAAGUUUUAAUA